CACGUAGGGCGCGAGCGUUGUCCGGAAUUAUUGGGCGUAAAGGGCGCGUAGGCGGCGUGACAAGUCACUUGUGAAAUCUCCGGGCUUAACUCGGAACGGCCAAGUGAUACUGUCGUGCUAGAGUGCAGAAGGGGCAAUCGGAAUUCUUGGUGUAGCGGUGAAAUGCGUAGAUAUCAAGAGGAACACCUGAGGUGAAGACGGGUUGCUGGGCUGACACUGACGCUGAGGCGCGAAAGCUAGGGGAGCAAACGGG
Molecule: ribosomal RNA, 253 nt
Filed under: uncultured bacterium
Lineage: Bacteria
Description: partial 16S ribosomal RNA
Rfam family: Bacterial small subunit ribosomal RNA
Source: RNAcentral